Molecule: long non-coding RNA, 542 nt
Organism: Pistacia vera
Lineage: Eukaryota; Viridiplantae; Streptophyta; Magnoliopsida; Sapindales; Anacardiaceae
Exons: 2
Source: RefSeq, a predicted model, not a curated record
UCAGUUAACAGUUUAAAAAUUAAUUUUAAACGGUUAAUUGGUACCAGUCUUGCAAAUUGGUUUAUAUAUAUAAAGCCGAAAUACUAAAAGCCCAAAUCCCUAAACUUAUAUAUAUAAUAUAUAUAAAAUCCAAUUCCCUAAACUUAUAAUCUCCCUUUUCGUUCCCUCUUUCCCUGAGAUUUUCCUUCUCUCUAAUUCCUUCCUCCUUCCCCAAAAUUUUCUCCUCUCUCUAAUUCCAAACAUUUGCUUUUAUUCAAUGUCAAAGUGUUGACGCAAUCACGCAACAAACUCCAUUCCCUCUUCUCUCCAGUUCGGCGAUUGCCUUCACUUCUCUCAGUCUUCAAUUAGCACGAAAACACGACGGCGCACAACCAAAAAUCACAGGCAAAAGCGUCUUCGAGUUCACAGAUGCAAUUCUUUUAAUUUUUGUGUAUUUUGUUGGUUUUGUUGAAAGUUUUGAUUUUGGGGUGUGUGGAGUGCGGAAUUUUGGAGUGUUGUAUAUUAUUUUUUAAUACUUUAAUGAUCAAUUUAUAUUUUUAGUA